GGUUCCUACGGGGGGCAGCAGUGGGGAAUAUUGCACAAUGGGGGAAACCCUGAUGCAGCGACGCCGCGUGAGCGAUGAAGUAUUUCGGUAUGUAAAGCUCUAUCAGCAGGGAAGAAAAUGACGGUACCUGACUAAGAAGCCCCGGCUAACUACGUGCCAGCAGCCGCGGUAAUACGUAGGGGGCAAGCGUUGUCCGGAUUUACUGGGCGUAAAGGGAGCGUAGGCGGAUUUUUAAGUGAGAUGUGAAAUACUCGGGCUCAACUUGAGUGCUGCAUUUCAAACUGGAAGUCUAGAGUGCAGGAGAG
Molecule: ribosomal RNA, 305 nt
Filed under: uncultured bacterium
Lineage: Bacteria
Description: bacterial SSU rRNA
Rfam family: Bacterial small subunit ribosomal RNA
Source: RNAcentral